Molecule: ribosomal RNA, 497 nt
Filed under: uncultured bacterium
Lineage: Bacteria
Description: bacterial SSU rRNA
Rfam family: Bacterial small subunit ribosomal RNA
Source: RNAcentral
AAUAGAUACCCGGGUAGUCCACGCCGUAAACGAUGAGUGCUAAGUGUUAGAGGGUUUCCGCCCUUUAGUGCUGCAGCUAACGCAUUAAGCACUCCGCCUGGGGAGUACGGCCGCAAGGCUGAAACUCAAAGGAAUUGACGGGGGCCCGCACAAGCGGUGGAGCAUGUGGUUUAAUUCGAAGCAACGCGAAGAACCUUACCAGGUCUUGACAUCCUCUGCCAACCCUAGAGAUAGGGCGUUCCCCUUCGGGGGACAGAGUGACAGGUGGUGCAUGGUUGUCGUCAGCUCGUGUCGUGAGAUGUUGGGUUAAGUCCCGCAACGAGCGCAACCCUUGAUCUUAGUUGCCAGCAUUCAGUUGGGCACUCUAAGGUGACUGCCGGUGACAAACCGGAGGAAGGUGGGGAUGACGUCAAAUCAUCAUGCCCCUUAUGACCUGGGCUACACACGUGCUACAAUGGAUGGUACAAAGAGCUGCGAACCCGCGAGGGUAAGCCAAU